UACGAAGGGGGCUAGCGUUGCUCGGAAUGACUGGGCGUAAAGGGCGCGUAGGCGGUUUGUACAGUCAGAUGUGAAAUUCCUGGGCUCAACCUGGGGGCUGCAUUUGAUACGUAUGGACUGGAGUGAGGAAGAGGGUCGUGGAAUUCCCAGUGUAGAGGUGAAAUUCGUAGAUAUUGGGGAAGAACACCGGUGGCGAAGGCGGCGACCUGGUCCUU
RNAcentral lists this ribosomal RNA (215 nucleotides) under uncultured bacterium. Its description in RNAcentral is "partial 16S ribosomal RNA". It matches the Rfam family "Bacterial small subunit ribosomal RNA", at positions 524 to 737 of the family's 1533-position model. The record is from RNAcentral.